This 500-nucleotide ribosomal RNA is filed under the name uncultured bacterium. RNAcentral describes it as "partial 16S ribosomal RNA". It matches the Rfam family "Bacterial small subunit ribosomal RNA", at positions 30 to 523 of the family's 1533-position model. The record is from RNAcentral.
AUUGAACGCUGGCGGAAUGCUUUACACAUGCAAGUCGAACGGCAGCACGGACUUCGGUCUGGUGGCGAGUGGCGAACGGGUGAGUAAUGUAUCGGAACGUGCCCAGUCGUGGGGGAUAACGUAGUGAAAAUUACGCUAAUACCGCAUACGAUCUAUGGAUGAAAGCGGGGGAUCGCAAGACCUCGCGCGAUUGGAGCGGCCGCUAUCAGAUUAGGUAGUUGGUGGGGUAAAGGCCCACCAAGCCAACGAUCUGUAGCUGGUCUGAGAGGACGACCAGCCACACUGUAACUGAGACCCGGUCCAGACUCCUACGUGAGGCAGCAGUGGGGAAUUUUGGACAAGGGGCGAAAGCCUGAUCCAGCCAUUCCGCGUGCAGGAUGAAGGCCCUCGGGUUGUAAACUGCUUUUGUACAGAACGAAAAGGUUUCUACUAAUACUAGGAGCUCAUGACGGUACUGUAAGAAUAAGCACCGGCUAACUACGUGCCAGCCGCCGCAGUAA